CAGUAGCGUAUAUUAAAGUUGUUGCAGUUAAAAUGCUCGUAGUUGAAGUUCGGAUGCAGCAGAGCUUGGAAACGCUGUUAUGGUGCUUCCGUUGCUUUUGCUUGUCCACAGUGCGUUGCAAGUACGUAUGUGCUUGUGCGUGCAUUUUACUUUGAGAAACAUAGGGUGUUCCACGCAUGUUACGGCAGGAAUAUUCCAGCAUGGGAUAAUCUGGUACGACUUCCAAUCUGCCAUUUUGGUUCGUAGGUUGGAAGUAAUGAUUAAUAGGGACUGUCGGGGGCAUUGGUAUUUGACUGUCAGAGGUGAAAUUCUUAGAUUCGUUGAGGACCAACCACUGCGAAAGCAUUUGUCAAGGAUGUCUCCAUUAA
This 368-nucleotide ribosomal RNA is filed under the name uncultured eukaryote. RNAcentral's name for it is "partial 18S ribosomal RNA". It matches the Rfam family "Eukaryotic small subunit ribosomal RNA", at positions 592 to 976 of the family's 1831-position model. The record is from RNAcentral.